UUUAUGGAGAGUUUGAUCCUGGCUCAGGAUGAACGCUGGCGGCGUGCCUAAUACAUGCAAGUCGAGCGAACGGACGAGAAGAUUGCUUCUCUGAUGUUAGCGGCGGACGGGUGAGUAACACGUGGAUAACCUACCUAUAAGACUGGGAUAACUUCGGGAAACCGGAGCUAAUACCGGAUAAUAUUUUGAACCGCAUGGUUCAAAAGUGAAAGACGGUCUUGCUGUCACUUAUAGAUGGAUCCGCGCUGCAUUAGCUAGUUGGUAAGGUAACGGCUUACCAAGGCAACGAUGCAUAGCCAACCUGAGAGGGUGAUCGGCCACACUGGAACUGAGACACGGUCCAGACUCCUACGGGAGGCAGCAGUAGGGAAUCUUCCGCAAUGGGCGAAAGCCUGACGGAGCAACGCCGCGUGAGUGAUGAAGGUCUUCGGAUCGUAAAACUCUGUUAUUAGGGAAGAACAUAUGUGUAAGUAACUGUGCACAUCUUGACGGUACCUAAUCAGAAAGCCACGGCUAACUACGUGCCAGCAGCCGCGGUAAUACGUAGGUGGCAAGCGUUAUCCGGAAUUAUUGGGCGUAAAGCGCGCGUAGGCGGUUUUUUAAGUCUGAUGUGAAAGCCCACGGCUCAACCGUGGAGGGUCAUUGGAAACUGGAAAACUUGAGUGCAGAAGAGGAAAGUGGAAUUCCAUGUGUAGCGGUGAAAUGCGCAGAGAUAUGGAGGAACACCAGUGGCGAAGGCGACUUUCUGGUCUGUAACUGACGCUGAUGUGCGAAAGCGUGGGGAUCAAACAGGAUUAGAUACCCUGGUAGUCCACGCCGUAAACGAUGAGUGCUAAGUGUUAGGGGGUUUCCGCCCCUUAGUGCUGCAGCUAACGCAUUAAGCACUCCGCCUGGGGAGUACGACCGCAAGGUUGAAACUCAAAGGAAUUGACGGGGACCCGCACAAGCGGUGGAGCAUGUGGUUUAAUUCGAAGCAACGCGAAGAACCUUACCAAAUCUUGACAUCCUUUGACAACUCUAGAGAUAGAGCCUUCCCCUUCGGGGGACAAAGUGACAGGUGGUGCAUGGUUGUCGUCAGCUCGUGUCGUGAGAUGUUGGGUUAAGUCCCGCAACGAGCGCAACCCUUAAGCUUAGUUGCCAUCAUUAAGUUGGGCACUCUAAGUUGACUGCCGGUGACAAACCGGAGGAAGGUGGGGAUGACGUCAAAUCAUCAUGCCCCUUAUGAUUUGGGCUACACACGUGCUACAAUGGACAAUACAAAGGGCAGCGAAACCGCGAGGUCAAGCAAAUCCCAUAAAGUUGUUCUCAGUUCGGAUUGUAGUCUGCAACUCGACUACAUGAAGCUGGAAUCGCUAGUAAUCGUAGAUCAGCAUGCUACGGUGAAUACGUUCCCGGGUCUUGUACACACCGCCCGUCACACCACGAGAGUUUGUAACACCCGAAGCCGGUGGAGUAACCUUUUAGGAGCUAGCCGUCGAAGGUGGGACAAAUGAUUGGGGUGAAGUCGUAACAAGGUAGCCGUAUCGGAAGGUGCGGCUGGAUCACCUCCUUUCU
Molecule: ribosomal RNA, 1554 nt
Filed under: Staphylococcus aureus
Lineage: Bacteria; Bacillati; Bacillota; Bacilli; Caryophanales; Staphylococcaceae
Description: 16S ribosomal RNA
Rfam family: Bacterial small subunit ribosomal RNA
Source: RNAcentral